RNAcentral lists this ribosomal RNA (521 nucleotides) under Caloplaca sp. 'diffusa'. RNAcentral describes it as "eukaryotic LSU rRNA". The stretch from base 211 to 364 matches the Rfam family "5.8S ribosomal RNA". Lineage: Eukaryota; Fungi; Ascomycota; Lecanoromycetes; Teloschistales; Teloschistaceae. The record is from RNAcentral.
CUGCGGAGGCUUACUGAGAGGGGGACUUCGCGUCCCCCGGGGGGUUUCGGCCCUCCAACUCUUCAACCCGUGCUUACACACCUCUGUUUCUUUGGCGAGCGCCGGGGCGUCUCACGUCUCGGCCCUGACCCUAGGGUCGGUGCGUUCUCGCCAGAGCCCCCUAAUCAUUCUGUUUGUCAGUGACGUCCGAGUAUAUCGAAUAUAAAUCAAAACUUUCAACAACGAAUCUCUUGGUUCUGGCAUCGAUGAAGAACGCAGCGAAAUGCGAUAAGUAAUGUGAAUUGCAGAAUUCAGUGAAUCAUCGAAUCUUUGAACGCACAUUGCGCCCCUUGGUAUUCCGAGGGGCAUACCUGUUCGAGCGUCAUUGCAUCCUCAAGCUUUGCUUGGUAUUGAGCUUUUCGCCGGAGACGGCGUGCUCGAAAGUUAGKGSGGUCCAGGGAGACUUCAAGCGCAGUAAAACUUUCCCGCUUUCGAGGUUCUCGCCUGUGGCCAGCCGUAAACCCCCCACUUUCAAUGGUGAC